RNAcentral lists this ribosomal RNA (253 nucleotides) under uncultured bacterium. RNAcentral's name for it is "partial 16S ribosomal RNA". It matches the Rfam family "Bacterial small subunit ribosomal RNA", at positions 524 to 776 of the family's 1533-position model. The record is from RNAcentral.
UACGGAGGAUGCAAGCGUUAUCCGGAUUCAUUGGGUUUAAAGGGUGCGCAGGCGGAAUAAUAAGUCAGUGGUGAAAUCUCCCGGCUCAACCGGGAAACUGCCAUUGAUACUGCUAUUCUUGAGUACAGUUGAAGUGGGCGGAAUGUGUCAUGUAGCGGUGAAAUGCUUAGAUAUGACACAGAACACCGAUAGCGAAGGCAGCUCACUAAGCUGUAACUGACGCUCAUGCACGAAAGCGUGGGGAUCAAACAGG